This 758-nucleotide ribosomal RNA is filed under the name uncultured bacterium. RNAcentral's name for it is "bacterial SSU rRNA". It matches the Rfam family "Bacterial small subunit ribosomal RNA", at positions 28 to 776 of the family's 1533-position model. The record is from RNAcentral.
GAUGAACGCUAGCUACAGGCUUAACACAUGCAAGUCGAGGGGCAUCAGGAAGAAAGCUUGCUUUCUUUGCUGGCGACCGGCGCACGGGUGAGUAACACGUAUCCAACCUGCCCUUUACUCGGGGAUAGCCUUUCGAAAGAAAGAUUAAUACCCGAUGGCAUAAUGAUUCCGCAUGGUUUCAUUAUUAAAGGAUUCCGGUAAAGGAUGGGGAUGCGUUCCAUUAGGUUGUUGGUGAGGUAACGGCUCACCAAGCCUUCGAUGGAUAGGGGUUCUGAGAGGAAGGUCCCCCACAUUGGAACUGAGACACGGUCCAAACUCCUACGGGAGGCAGCAGUGAGGAAUAUUGGUCAAUGGGCGCUAGCCUGAACCAGCCAAGUAGCGUGAAGGAUGAAGGCUCUAUGGGUCGUAAACUUCUUUUAUAUAAGAAUAAAGUGCAGUAUGUAUACUGUUUUGUAUGUAUUAUAUGAAUAAGGAUCGGCUAACUCCGUGCCAGCAGCUGCGGUAAUACGGAGGAUCCGAGCGUUAUCCGGAUUUAUUGGGUUUAAAGGGAGCGUAGGUGGACUGGUAAGUCAGUUGUGAAAGUUUGCGGCUCAACCGUAAAAUUGCAGUUGAUACUGUCAGUCUUGAGUACAGUAGAGGUGGGCGGAAUUCGUGGUGUAGCGGUGAAAUGCUUAGAUAUCACGAAGAACUCCGAUUGCGAAGGCAGCUCACUGGACUGCAACUGACACUGAUGCUCGAAAGUGUGNGUAUCANACAGG